Molecule: ribosomal RNA, 106 nt
Filed under: Castor canadensis (American beaver)
Lineage: Eukaryota; Metazoa; Chordata; Mammalia; Rodentia; Castoridae
Source: RNAcentral
UCUAGCCAUACAACCCUGAUCUUGUCUGAUCUCAGAAUCUAAGCAGGGUCGGGCCUGGUUGGUACUUGGAUGGAAGACAGAUCUUCAAAAGAGACUGCUCAAAGAC